UACGUAGGGGGCAAGCGUUGUCCGGAAUUAUUGGGCGUAAAGCGCGUGUAGGCGGCUCGGUAAGUCUGCUGUGAAAGUCUAGGGCUCAACCCUGGAAUGCCGGUGGAUACUGUCGAGCUAGAGUCCGGAAGAGGCGAGUGGAAUUCCUGGUGUAGCGGUGAAAUGCGCAGAUAUCAGGAGGAACACCAGUGGCGAAGGCGGCCCCCUGGGCAGUAACUGACACUGAGGCGCGACAGCGUGGGGAGCAAACAGG
RNAcentral lists this ribosomal RNA (253 nucleotides) under uncultured bacterium. RNAcentral's name for it is "partial 16S ribosomal RNA". It matches the Rfam family "Bacterial small subunit ribosomal RNA", at positions 524 to 776 of the family's 1533-position model. The record is from RNAcentral.